GAGGUUGUAGCUCAGUUGGUUAGAGCAUCGGCUUGUGGUGCCGAGGGUCGUGGGUUCGAGCCCCAUCUACCUCC
Molecule: transfer RNA, 74 nt
Filed under: Arcticibacterium luteifluviistationis
Lineage: Bacteria; Pseudomonadati; Bacteroidota; Cytophagia; Cytophagales; Leadbetterellaceae
Rfam family: tRNA
About the family: Transfer RNA (tRNA) molecules are approximately 80 nucleotides in length. Their secondary structure includes four short double-helical elements and three loops (D, anti-codon, and T loops). Further hydrogen bonds mediate the characteristic L-shaped molecular structure. tRNAs have two regions of fundamental functional importance: the anti-codon, which is responsible for specific mRNA codon recognition, and the 3' end, to which the tRNAs corresponding amino acid is attached (by aminoacyl-tRNA synthetases). tRNAs cope with the degeneracy of the genetic code in two manners: having more than one tRNA (with a specific anti-codon) for a particular amino acid; and 'wobble' base-pairing, i.e. permitting non-standard base-pairing at the 3rd anti-codon position.
Source: Rfam by way of RNAcentral